This is a long non-coding RNA of Micropterus dolomieu (smallmouth bass), 309 nucleotides long. RefSeq lists it as uncharacterized. Lineage: Eukaryota; Metazoa; Chordata; Actinopteri; Centrarchiformes; Centrarchidae. The transcript has 2 exons. The record is from RefSeq and is a predicted model, not a curated record.
AGUGCCAGUGCGCAAGAAAAAGUCAUGGUACACCAAAGAGUAAAAAUUAGAAGUGCUGGUACUGCAUACCGUGUCCCAGAUCUGUAGUUUGAUUCUUUUGCCCGGCUCGAUCUCCACCAGACGGGAGAAGAAGUCCACCCCCACAGUUGGGUCUGACACCUGGGCGAAGCGGCCCUCGGUGAACCUUCGGAUCAGACACGACUUGCCAACCGUGGAGUCUCCGAUGACGAUCAGACGAAACUGAUAAAGCCAUAUUGUCUCCAUCUCUCACCAAAAUAAAACCUGUGACAAAAUAAAAUCAUCCACUCA